AGUCGAACGAUGAUCCCAGCUUGCUGGGGGAUUAGUGGCGAACGGGUGAGUAACACGUGAGUAACCUGCCCUUGACUCAUGGGAUAAGCCUGGGAAACUGGGUCUAAUACCGGAUACGACCAUCUGGCGCAUGUCAUGGUGGUGGAAAGCUUUUGUGGUUUUGGAUGGACUCGCGGCCUAUCAGCUUGUUGGUGGGGUAAUGGCCUACCAAGGCGACGACGGGUAGCCGGCCUGAGAGGGUGACCGGCCACACUGGGACUGAGACACGGCCCAGACUCCUACGGGAGGCAGCAGUGGGGAAUAUUGCACAAUGGGCGCAAGCCUGAUGCAGCGACGCCGCGUGAGGGAUGACGGCCUUCGGGUUGUAAACCUCUUUCAGUAGGGAAGAAGCGUAAGUGACGGUACCUGCAGAAGAAGCGCCGGCUAACUACGUGCCAGCAGCCGCGGUAAUACGUAGGGCGCAAGCGUUAUCCGGAAUUAUUGGGCGUAAAGAGCUCGUAGGCGGUUUGUCGCGUCUGCUGUGAAAGACCGGGGCUCAACUCCGGUUCUGCAGUGGGUACGGGCAGACUAGAGUGCAGUAGGGGAGACUGGAAUUCCUGGUGUAGCGGUGAAAUGCGCAGAUAUCAGGAGGAACACCGAUGGCGAAGGCAGGUCUCUGGGCUGUAACUGACGCUGAGGAGCGAAAGCAUGGGGAGCGAACAGGAUUAGAUACCCUGGUAGAA
Molecule: ribosomal RNA, 722 nt
Filed under: uncultured Arthrobacter sp.
Lineage: Bacteria; Bacillati; Actinomycetota; Actinomycetes; Micrococcales; Micrococcaceae
Description: bacterial SSU rRNA
Rfam family: Bacterial small subunit ribosomal RNA
Source: RNAcentral